GAUGAACGCUGGCGGCGUGCCUAAUACAUGCAAGUCGAGCGAACGGACGAGAAGCUUGCUUCUCUGAUGUUAGCGGCGGACGGGUGAGUAACACGUGGAUAACCUACCUAUAAGACUGGGAUAACUUCGGGAAACCGUAGCUAAUACCGGAUAAUAUUUUGAACCGCAUGGUUCAAAAGUGAAAGACGGUCUUGCUGUCACUUAUAGAUGGAUCCGCGCUGCAUUAGCUAGUUGGUAGGGUAACGGCUUACCAAGGCAACGAUGCAUAGCCGACCUGAGAGGGUGAUCGGCCACACUGGAACUGAGACACGGUCCAGACUCCUACGGGAGGCAGCAGUAGGGAAUCUUCCGCAAUGGGCGAAAGCCUGACGGAGCAACGCCGCGUGAGUGAUGAAGGUCUUCGGAUCGUAAAACUCUGUUAUUAGGGAAGAACAUAUGUGUAAGUAACUGUGCACAUCUUGACGGUACCUAAUCAGAAAGCCACGGCUAACUACGUG
Molecule: ribosomal RNA, 497 nt
Filed under: uncultured bacterium
Lineage: Bacteria
Description: partial 16S ribosomal RNA
Rfam family: Bacterial small subunit ribosomal RNA
Source: RNAcentral